CGGUCCAAUCCUUAAAGUCAUCCUCAGUUCGGACUGGGGUCUGCAACCCGACCCCACGAAGCUGGAUUCGCUAGUAAUCGCGCAUCAGCCAUGGCGCGGUGAAUACGUUCCCGGGCCUUGUACACACCGCCCGUCAAGCCAUGAAAGCCGGGGGCGCCUGAAGUCCGUGACCGCGAGGGUCGGCCUAGGGUGAAACCGGUGAUUGGGGCUAAGUCGUAACAAGGUAUC
Molecule: ribosomal RNA, 228 nt
Filed under: uncultured bacterium
Lineage: Bacteria
Description: partial 16S ribosomal RNA
Rfam family: Bacterial small subunit ribosomal RNA
Source: RNAcentral